Molecule: transfer RNA, 75 nt
Filed under: Chloroflexota bacterium
Lineage: Bacteria; Bacillati; Chloroflexota
Also listed under: 5 other names
Description: tRNA-Lys
Rfam family: tRNA
About the family: Transfer RNA (tRNA) molecules are approximately 80 nucleotides in length. Their secondary structure includes four short double-helical elements and three loops (D, anti-codon, and T loops). Further hydrogen bonds mediate the characteristic L-shaped molecular structure. tRNAs have two regions of fundamental functional importance: the anti-codon, which is responsible for specific mRNA codon recognition, and the 3' end, to which the tRNAs corresponding amino acid is attached (by aminoacyl-tRNA synthetases). tRNAs cope with the degeneracy of the genetic code in two manners: having more than one tRNA (with a specific anti-codon) for a particular amino acid; and 'wobble' base-pairing, i.e. permitting non-standard base-pairing at the 3rd anti-codon position.
Source: RNAcentral
GGGCCGCUAGCUCAACGGUAGAGCAAGUGACUCUUAAUCACUAGGUUGAAGGUUCGAAUCCUUCGCGGCUCACCA